UUAAAUUGAAGAGUUUGAUCAUGGCUCAGAUUGAACGCUGGCGGCAGGCCUAACACAUGCAAGUCGAACGGUAACAGGAAGCAGCUUGCUGCUUUGCUGACGAGUGGCGGACGGGUGAGUAAUGUCUGGGAAACUGCCUGAUGGAGGGGGAUAACUACUGG
Molecule: ribosomal RNA, 161 nt
Filed under: Escherichia coli
Lineage: Bacteria; Pseudomonadati; Pseudomonadota; Gammaproteobacteria; Enterobacterales; Enterobacteriaceae
Also listed under: 10 other names
Description: partial 16S ribosomal RNA
Rfam family: Bacterial small subunit ribosomal RNA
Source: RNAcentral